AUGGAAGUCGGAAUCCGCUAAGGACUGUGUAACAACUCACCUGCCGAAUGAACUAGCCCUGAAAAUGGAUGGCGCUCAAGCGUGCUACCCAUACCUCGCCGUCGGGGUAGAAACGAUGCCCCGACGAGUAGGCAGGCGUGGAGGUCCGUGACGAAGCCUUGGGAGUGAUCCCGGGUCGAACGGCCUCUAGUGCAGAUCUUG
RNAcentral lists this ribosomal RNA (201 nucleotides) under Leptocylindrus danicus. Its description in RNAcentral is "partial Eukaryotic large subunit ribosomal RNA". It matches the Rfam family "Eukaryotic large subunit ribosomal RNA", at positions 1254 to 1453 of the family's 3401-position model. Lineage: Eukaryota; Bacillariophyta; Leptocylindrophyceae; Leptocylindrales; Leptocylindraceae. The record is from RNAcentral.